UCCCCUGUGGCUCAGUUGGUAGAGCAUGGUGUUUGCAAUGCCAGGGUUGUGGGUUUGAUUCCCACGGGGGGCC
RNAcentral lists this transfer RNA (73 nucleotides) under Salmo salar (Atlantic salmon). It matches the Rfam family "tRNA". Rfam says of the family: Transfer RNA (tRNA) molecules are approximately 80 nucleotides in length. Lineage: Eukaryota; Metazoa; Chordata; Actinopteri; Salmoniformes; Salmonidae. The record is from Rfam by way of RNAcentral.